GCAGAGCAGCCCUUGGGGAGCAUGCUCUGGGGACUUGAUCAUGAGCUUGGAGUUGAUGAAGCAAUUCCACGGAGGACUGAAGUCCAUAAAUAUCUUGCCUCGUGUCACAAAGCUAGUGAGUGGCAAAAGCAGUAUUAGAACCCAGCACACUCCUGGCCCACUGAAUGGAUGCAUCAGAAACUAAAGUUUGUG
This is a long non-coding RNA of Eptesicus fuscus (big brown bat), 192 nucleotides long. RefSeq lists it as uncharacterized. The record is from RefSeq and is a predicted model, not a curated record. The transcript is spliced from 3 exons. Lineage: Eukaryota; Metazoa; Chordata; Mammalia; Chiroptera; Vespertilionidae.